GACGAACGCUGGCGGCGUGCCUAACACAUGCAAGUCGAGCGGGGUUGAAGCGAGGGGUAACUCGAGUUUCUACCUAGCGGCGGACGGGUGAGUAACGCGUGGGCAACCUGCCUCAAGGACUGGGAUAACAGCUCGAAAGGGCUGCUAAUACCGGAUAAGCCCAUGGCCUCGCAUGGGGCCAUGAGCAAAGGGGAAACCCGCCUUGAGAUGGGCCCGCGUCCCAUCAGCUAGUUGGUGAGGUGAAGGCUCACCAAGGCGACGACGGGUAGCCGGCCUGAGAGGGUGACCGGCCACACUGGGACUGAGACACGGCCCAGACUCCUACGGGGGCAGCAGUGGGGAAUCUUGCACAAUGGGCGAAAGCCUGAUGCAGCGACGCCGCGUGAGCGAAGAAGGCCUUCGGUUGUAAAGCUCUGUCUGGAGGGACGAAGGAAGUGACGGUACCUCCGGAGGAAGCCACGGCGUAACUACGUGCCAGCAGCCGCGGUAAACGUAGCGUG
Molecule: ribosomal RNA, 500 nt
Filed under: uncultured bacterium
Lineage: Bacteria
Description: bacterial SSU rRNA
Rfam family: Bacterial small subunit ribosomal RNA
Source: RNAcentral